UCUAAGCAAAAUAAAAUAUUCUUUUAUAAAGUAAAACAAAAGAAACGCGGGAGAGAACUAUAUACUCUUUUUAGCAAAUAAGAAGUUAUGACAUUUCAAAAUCGGUAAAAGAAACACAAUAUAUUCGUAUGUGAUAAAUUUUAUAAAAUAAAACACUUUUUACUUACCAUGCAGAAGAACUUCACGUCGGCGUUACGCCCGCGCACGAAAACAAUCUAGAGAUGUACACCAAAAAAUCCGUAAGCGUGUGUCCGUGAUCCUGUUUAUCAGGAAAGGUCUUUGAAACGAAACUUUGUCGUUUCUCUUUGUCUGGUUACCUUAGAUAUGGAUAGAUAACCGGAAAAUAGAAAAACCUCACACGCGUAGUCCUGCGGUAGAGAAUAAAAAAAGAAUAUUACACGAUAAAUCGAAGUCAAGUGCAAUACACACACGAACAACCGCACGGCGCGCGGGUUCAGCGGCCGACUGAAAGGAUGCAGUCGCCUUUGGUCCGCCAUGGUCCGCUCACGGACCCCUGUGGCCCCUCGUGGUCCGGCCAACUCCCCACCAUACAACGAUACAGAGACAAAGCAGCUGCGCGCGCACCUACACAUUUUUUGACCCUCCGCCAUUCUCCCUUCCCUCUUGUCCCCACUCCAGCAUGCUUAGGCUCGAUUCACCGCGUACCUAAGUUUCUUUAUUCGUACACACAGGCAUACUGCCUAGUGAUAGGGUUGAUGCAGGAGGAAUUUGUAUUUUCAAGACUCGUCAUAGGCCUGUUUACACCCUGUGAGAAAGAGAGACUAUUACCGGUCUGGUAGCUUAUAUCGACGUAGGAAAAAGUAUAUACCGGCCGAUCCUAUUGCACUGGCAAAAUUGAAGUAACCGCAUUGUAUUUCGACGGACCAUUAGUAAUAAAAAACAUAUAUAUGAUAACAAUCUUUUAAUAUCUUCUGAUAACAUAUUACUUAUGCAAUAGAAAAUGCAUUUAAAAUAUGAAUUUUUUCCAUGAAAACUGUACAAAUUAUUUUACUUACUAAAUAGUAACGAAACUAAGCAUAAGAUUAUUAUUUAAUUUUUUGAUUGAUACAAUAAUAAAUUAUAAAAUUUUAUUCAUUGUACAAAUAUUCAUUAUGUUAUUAUUACUAUACUUUACAAUUACUUUUACUAAAAUAACAUAAAAAAUAUAUCAAUAGUAUAUACUAUAUAUAUUUAAAUGAUAAAUUAUAAAAAAGAAGAAUUUCAUUAGAAAACACAAUAUAUUUUCUUUCAUUUAAAUAAACGAAUCAUUUUUUUUUAAAAA
Molecule: long non-coding RNA, 1282 nt
Organism: Apis cerana (Asiatic honeybee)
Lineage: Eukaryota; Metazoa; Arthropoda; Insecta; Hymenoptera; Apidae
Source: RefSeq, a predicted model, not a curated record